Molecule: ribosomal RNA, 440 nt
Filed under: uncultured bacterium
Lineage: Bacteria
Description: partial 16S ribosomal RNA
Rfam family: Bacterial small subunit ribosomal RNA
Source: RNAcentral
CCUACGGGUGGCUGCAGUAGGGAAUAUUGCUCAAUGGGGGAAACCCUGAAGCAGCAAAGCCGCGUGGAGGAUGAAGGUUUUCGGAUUGUAAACUCCUUUUGUUAGGGAAGAUAAUGACUGUAUCUAACGAAUAAGCACCGUCUAACUCCGGGCCAGCAGCCGCGGUAAUACGGAGGCUUCAAGCGUUAUCCGGAUUUAUUGGGUUUAAAGGGGGCGUAGGCGGGAUAGCAAGUCAGAUGUGAAAUCCUAGGGCUUAACCAGAGAACUGCAUUUGAAACUGUUAUUCUAGAGUAUGGGAGAGGUAGGUGGAAUUCGUGGUGUAGGGGUAAAAUCCGUAGAGAUCAAGAGGAAUACUGAUUGCGAAGGCGACCUGCUAGAACAUAACUGACGCUGAUGCUCGAAAGCGUGGGGAGCAAACAGGAUUAGAUACCCUGGUAGUC